This 408-nucleotide ribosomal RNA is filed under the name uncultured bacterium. Its description in RNAcentral is "partial 16S ribosomal RNA". It matches the Rfam family "Bacterial small subunit ribosomal RNA", at positions 30 to 526 of the family's 1533-position model. The record is from RNAcentral.
AUUGAACGCUGGCGGCGGGCUUAACACAUGCAAGUCGAGCGGAGUGGCGCACGGGUGAGUAAUGUAUAGCUAAUCUGCCCUACACUAGAGGACAACAGUUGGAAACGACUGCUAAUACUCUAUAGUGUAGGAUGAGGCUAUAUUGUAUAAGCUAGUUGGUGAGGUAAUGGCUCACCAAGGCUAUGACGCAUAACUGGUUUGAGAGGAUGAUCAGUCAGACUGUAACUGAGACACCGUCCAGAUUCCUGCGGGAGGCAGCAGUAGGGUAUAUUGCUCAAUGGGGGAAACCCUGAAGCAGCAACGCCGCGUGGAGGAUGACACUUGUCGGAGAGUAAACUCCUUUUGUUAGGGAAGCGGUACCUAGCGAAGAAGCACCGGCUAACUCCGUGCCAGCAGCCGCGGUAAUAC